Small nuclear RNA from Jaculus jaculus (lesser Egyptian jerboa), 106 nucleotides. The record is from Ensembl. NCBI's taxonomy places the organism in Eukaryota, Metazoa, Chordata, Mammalia, Rodentia, Dipodidae.
AUGCUUGCUUCAGCAGUACAAGUGCUAAAAUAGGAAUGAUACAACAAAGAUUAGAAUGGUUUCUGCUCACAAAUGACAAAAAAAUUAUAAUGUAUUCCAUACUUUU